This 558-nucleotide ribosomal RNA is filed under the name Triticum aestivum (bread wheat). RNAcentral describes it as "partial small subunit ribosomal RNA". Lineage: Eukaryota; Viridiplantae; Streptophyta; Magnoliopsida; Poales; Poaceae. The record is from RNAcentral.
AUGGACGGCGGCAGUAGUCUUAAUCUGAUAUAUCAGGACACUGUCCACAAGAUGGGGAUAGACCCGUCAAGAAUCAACCAAAGCAGUACUACCUUUAAAGGAGUAAUACCAGGCGUAGCGGCCCGCUGCACAGGCUCUUUGACGUUAGUGGUUGUAUUCGAUUCUCCCGACAACUUUCGAAGCGAAGAACUAAUCUUCGACAUCGCUCCGUUCCGAAGCGGUGGUCAUGCACUUCUCGGAAGAAUGGUCUUCACCCAUUUCAAUGCAGUACUGCAUUACGAUUAUCUCAAACUUAAGAUGUCUGGUCCACGUGGCGUCAUCACAAUCAGCGGAAACACAGACCGUUCUCUUCGUGCGAAAGAUUACAUGGAGGCUCUAGCAGCCGAACCACUGAACGGCCCUCCAACCCAAGUAACUCAUCGGUCUUCGAGACCACGGACACGGCUAGACGCGUACGGCGCACACCUAGUUAUAGCAGCCCAGAUAAACCUGAGCUUGAUUAAUGGCUAUGCCCCCAUAUGUGGUGCUAGGGGCUACCCGCAUGUAAAAGGCCCAUAG